Molecule: microRNA precursor, 68 nt
Filed under: Pan troglodytes (chimpanzee)
Lineage: Eukaryota; Metazoa; Chordata; Mammalia; Primates; Hominidae
Description: miRNA
Rfam family: mir-515 microRNA precursor family
Source: RNAcentral
GUGACCCUCUAGAUGGAAGCACUGUCUGUUGUCUUAAGAAAAGAUCGUGCAUCCCUUUAGAGUGUUAC